CCUACGGGUGGCAGCAGUGAGGAAUAUUGGUCAAUGGGCGGAAGCCUGAACCAGCCAAGUAGCGUGCGGGAUGAAGGCCCUACGGGUCGUAAACCGCUUUUGCACGGGGAUAACACCCUCCACUUGUGGAGGUCUCCAGGUACCGUUCGAAUCAGGGCCGGCUAAUUCCGUGCCAGCAGCCGCGGUAAUACGGAAGGCCAGGGCGUUAUCCGGUUUCAUUGGGCUUAACGGGAGCGUAGGCGGGGGGUAAAGUUUGCGGUAAAAUCGCGCGGUUCAACCGCGCCCCGCAGUUGAAACUGGACGCCUUGAGUGCACAACAGGCAGGCGGAAUUCGUGGUGUAGCGGUGAAAUGCGUAGAUAUCACGAGGAACCCCGAUGGCGAAGGCAGCCUGCCGGGGUGCGACUGACGCUGAGGCUCGAAGGUGCGGGUAUCAAACAGGAUUAGAUACCCGUGUAGUC
Molecule: ribosomal RNA, 459 nt
Filed under: uncultured bacterium
Lineage: Bacteria
Description: partial 16S ribosomal RNA
Rfam family: Bacterial small subunit ribosomal RNA
Source: RNAcentral